AUUUUCAGGACAAUUUUCCCACUGGACCACAACAAAACGAGACUGUGGGGGAACACGUACUGUUUUUGCAGUGAGUGCACUUUACUGCGCAGAAGUUUGAUCAUGAUGGAAAACCAUCAGCCCAUUGCUCAAGGCGACCCGUCACUCCACAGACCAGUGCCAAAUCAAACAGUCCCAGGUCAAAGGUCAAACCCUCGGCCGCUGGGACAUCCCAUGCGCUUCGGCAAAGCAUAAUGAGCUCGUAUGACAGAGUUUGAUGUAAUCCGGGGAAAAGAGCGAAUCCCAGUCCAGAUCUGUCCUCGAUCGGACACCUGUGAGAUCUUCUGCUCCAAAACACACACAUCCAGUCGCCCGCGCACCGCUUUACUGCCAAGACACACAGUUUUAAGCAACAUGGAGGUCUGGAGGUUUGUCCCCCGAGGGCUGGAGGGAUACGUGACUGAGCGCAUGCAGCCGCGGAGACGAGGGGCGUCACUGAGAACCUUAGCACUGACGAGACCUCCAGUUACUGCACACUGGGAUUGAGCAACUUCAAGUGGACAAUAGUUCCUCUAUGGAGGACGAGCGCUCGCUAAACCUUCAGAAAUAUCAUCAGUUUGAUGCCACUGAGACAGCAUUAUCAGCAUUAACUCAUGCAGUUCAUGUUUAAUUGAUGUAGUGGCUAUUGUUUGUGUGCCACUUUGAUUCUACUUAACUUCCAUCUCUGGACUCACAAUUUCUUUCAACACUGAGACCGGAGAGCUGUUGGUCAAUAAAUGCACUGUAAAAAA
Carassius auratus (goldfish) is the source of this 770-nucleotide long non-coding RNA. RefSeq lists it as uncharacterized. The transcript is spliced from 2 exons. The record is from RefSeq and is a predicted model, not a curated record. Lineage: Eukaryota; Metazoa; Chordata; Actinopteri; Cypriniformes; Cyprinidae.